RNAcentral lists this ribosomal RNA (509 nucleotides) under uncultured bacterium. RNAcentral's name for it is "bacterial SSU rRNA". It matches the Rfam family "Bacterial small subunit ribosomal RNA", at positions 501 to 1009 of the family's 1533-position model. The record is from RNAcentral.
CUACGUGCCAGCAGCCGCGGUAAUACGUAGGUGGCAAGCGUUGUCCGGAAUUAUUGGGCGUAAAGCGCGCGCAGGCGGAUUGGUCAGUCUGUCUUAAAAGCUCGGGGCUUAACCCCGUGAUGGGAUGGAAACUGCCAAUCUAGAGUAUCGGAGAGGAAAGUGGAAUUCCUAGUGUAGCGGUGAAAUGCGUAGAUAUUAGGAAGAACACCAGUGGCGAAGGCGACUUUCUGGACGAAAACUGACGCUGAGGCGCGAAAGCCAGGGGAGCGAACGGGAUUAGAUACCCCGGUAGUCCUGGCCGUAAACGAUGGGUACUAGGUGUAGGAGGUAUCGACCCCUUCUGUGCCGGAGUUAACGCAAUAAGUACCCCGCCUGGGGAGUACGACCGCAAGGUUGAAACUCAAAGGAAUUGACGGGGGCCCGCACAAGCGGUGGAGUAUGUGGUUUAAUUCGACGCAACGCGAAGAACCUUACCAGGUCUUGACAUUGAUGGACAGAACUAGAGAUAG